UACAGAGGUCCCAAGCGUUGUUCGGAUUCACUGGGCGUAAAGGGUGCGUAGGUGGUGAGGUAAGUCGGAUGUGAAAGCUCGGAGCUCAACUCCGAAAUGGCAUUGGAAACUACCUUGCUCGAGGGUUGGAGGGGGGACUGGAAUGCUUGGUGUAGCAGUGAAAUGCGUAGAGAUCGGGAGGAACACCCGUGGCGAAGGCGGCCAUCUGGACCAGCACUGACGCUGAGGCACGAAAGCGUGGGGAGCAAACAGG
This 253-nucleotide ribosomal RNA is filed under the name uncultured bacterium. Its description in RNAcentral is "partial 16S ribosomal RNA". It matches the Rfam family "Bacterial small subunit ribosomal RNA", at positions 524 to 776 of the family's 1533-position model. The record is from RNAcentral.